UGCGGCAGGCGGAAAACUUGGGAAGAGCAGUGAUCCCUUCCACAGAUAACGUGCUUUCGUAGGGGCCGCAGUUGAGUGGAUGGGGGUAGACUUUUUACCCUGGACGGUUUAUUCCAGGAUUUUUACCCGCCCGUUCCGAGUCAUUGGGGUGCAACAGUCCCUUCAGUAAAUCCUGCCUCAGGAGUUCUUACGCACGGACCCUUUCGAGGCUCAGGCUCGCCAUCUCAGCACUGCCAGCUGUUGACGACUCCCAGCUCCGAGGCCUCAACUUGAAUCCUCAGAAACAACUCUGUCAGCACAGCUGAGAGGCACCCGGUUCACAGAAGUCGGAGAAGAGGAUCACUUAAAUGUUCUCUAGAAGCCCCAUCGGAACCUGGGUAAACAACAGACCACCCAAGAAAAACUACCUUCAAGACAGGCCAUUCCUAGUUCCCUAUUGAGGAGGAACAGGAGAUUUCUAUUUUUGUCAAUGAAGAUUCUUUACGUUGCAAGUGAAGAAAAAUCCAAAGCAAACUGGUUUCAUUAGAAAUGGAAACUGAAAAGACUGUUGGUAGUUUCCAGGGAUGGUUGUGACUUUAUUCAAAGGUCAAACAAUGUCACCAGGACCUAUUUCCCAGAUCUUCUUCUUCUGAGUGUUAGCUUCAUCGUCAGGCUGGUUCUCUUCCUGGUAGCAAAGUGGCUGCAGCAGGCCCAACUUCACAUCUGUAGACACCAAGUCCUGAGAAGUCAAAACUGAAGGUCAGAGGUGAUUCACUGUGGAUGUGGUGAAAAAGGAGAGAUGCUACAUACACUGUGGAUGUAUGGAAAAAGGAGAGAUGCUAGACUCCAAACAGUGGACUCGUAUUCAAAGCAAAGGUCUUUACCCUGCAG
Molecule: long non-coding RNA, 870 nt
Organism: Rhinolophus ferrumequinum (greater horseshoe bat)
Lineage: Eukaryota; Metazoa; Chordata; Mammalia; Chiroptera; Rhinolophidae
Exons: 4
Source: RefSeq, a predicted model, not a curated record